Molecule: ribosomal RNA, 403 nt
Filed under: bacterium
Lineage: Bacteria
Description: partial 16S ribosomal RNA
Rfam family: Bacterial small subunit ribosomal RNA
Source: RNAcentral
UGGGGAAUAUUGCACAAUGGGGGAAACCCUGAUGCAGCGACGCCGCGUGAACGAAGAAGGUAUUCGUAUCGUAAAGUUCUGUCCUAUGGGAAGAUAAUGACAGUACCAUAGAAGAACGCUCCGGCUAAAUACGUGCCAGCAGCCGCGGUAAUACGUAUGCAGCGAGCGUUGUCCGGAAUUAUUGGGCGUAAAGGGUACGCAGGCGGUUUAAUAAGUGGAAUGUUAAAGAUCGGGGCUCAACCCCGCAAAGCAUUGGAAACUGAUAAAAUGGAGUAGUGGAGAGGAAAGUGGAAUUCCUAGUGUAGUGGUGAAAUACGUAGAUAUUAGGAGGAAUAACAGUAGCGAAGGCGACUUUCUGGACACAAACUGACGCUGAGGUACGAAAGCGUGGGGAGCAAACAGG